This 2474-nucleotide ribosomal RNA is filed under the name Staphylococcus aureus. RNAcentral's name for it is "partial 23S ribosomal RNA". It matches the Rfam family "Bacterial large subunit ribosomal RNA", at positions 444 to 2925 of the family's 2925-position model. The record is from RNAcentral. Lineage: Bacteria; Bacillati; Bacillota; Bacilli; Caryophanales; Staphylococcaceae. RNAcentral also lists the same sequence under 1 other name.
CUGGGAGGACCAUCUCCUAAGGCUAAAUACUCUCUAGUGACCGAUAGUGAACCAGUACCGUGAGGGAAAGGUGAAAAGCACCCCGGAAGGGGAGUGAAAUAGAACCUGAAACCGUGUGCUUACAAGUAGUCAGAGCCCGUUAAUGGGUGAUGGCGUGCCUUUUGUAGAAUGAACCGGCGAGUUACGAUUUGAUGCAAGGUUAAGCAGUAAAUGUGGAGCCGUAGCGAAAGCGAGUCUGAAUAGGGCGUUUAGUAUUUGGUCGUAGACCCGAAACCAGGUGAUCUACCCUUGGUCAGGUUGAAGUUCAGGUAACACUGAAUGGAGGACCGAACCGACUUACGUUGAAAAGUGAGCGGAUGAACUGAGGGUAGCGGAGAAAUUCCAAUCGAACCUGGAGAUAGCUGGUUCUCUCCGAAAUAGCUUUAGGGCUAGCCUCAAGUGAUGAUUAUUGGAGGUAGAGCACUGUUUGGACGAGGGGCCCCUCUCGGGUUACCGAAUUCAGACAAACUCCGAAUGCCAAUUAAUUUAACUUGGGAGUCAGAACAUGGGUGAUAAGGUCCGUGUUCGAAAGGGAAACAGCCCAGACCACCAGCUAAGGUCCCAAAAUAUAUGUUAAGUGGAAAAGGAUGUGGCGUUGCCCAGACAACUAGGAUGUUGGCUUAGAAGCAGCCAUCAUUUAAAGAGUGCGUAAUAGCUCACUAGUCGAGUGACACUGCGCCGAAAAUGUACCGGGGCUAAACAUAUUACCGAAGCUGUGGAUUGUCCUUUGGACAAUGGUAGGAGAGCGUUCUAAGGGCGUUGAAGCAUGAUCGUAAGGACAUGUGGAGCGCUUAGAAGUGAGAAUGCCGGUGUGAGUAGCGAAAGACGGGUGAGAAUCCCGUCCACCGAUUGACUAAGGUUUCCAGAGGAAGGCUCGUCCGCUCUGGGUUAGUCGGGUCCUAAGCUGAGGCCGACAGGCGUAGGCGAUGGAUAACAGGUUGAUAUUCCUGUACCACCUAUAAUCGUUUUAAUCGAUGGGGGGACGCAGUAGGAUAGGCGAAGCGUGCGAUUGGAUUGCACGUCUAAGCAGUAAGGCUGAGUAUUAGGCAAAUCCGGUACUCGUUAAGGCUGAGCUGUGAUGGGGAGAAGACAUUGUGUCUUCGAGUCGUUGAUUUCACACUGCCGAGAAAAGCCUCUAGAUAGAAAAUAGGUGCCCGUACCGCAAACCGACACAGGUAGUCAAGAUGAGAAUUCUAAGGUGAGCGAGCGAACUCUCGUUAAGGAACUCGGCAAAAUGACCCCGUAACUUCGGGAGAAGGGGUGCUCUUUAGGGUUAACGCCCAGAAGAGCCGCAGUGAAUAGGCCCAAGCGACUGUUUAUCAAAAACACAGGUCUCUGCUAAACCGUAAGGUGAUGUAUAGGGGCUGACGCCUGCCCGGUGCUGGAAGGUUAAGAGGAGUGGUUAGCUUCUGCGAAGCUACGAAUCGAAGCCCCAGUAAACGGCGGCCGUAACUAUAACGGUCCUAAGGUAGCGAAAUUCCUUGUCGGGUAAGUUCCGACCCGCACGAAAGGCGUAACGAUUUGGGCACUGUCUCAACGAGAGACUCGGUGAAAUCAUAGUACCUGUGAAGAUGCAGGUUACCCGCGACAGGACGGAAAGACCCCGUGGAGCUUUACUGUAGCCUGAUAUUGAAAUUCGGCACAGCUUGUACAGGAUAGGUAGGAGCCUUUGAAACGUGAGCGCUAGCUUACGUGGAGGCGCUGGUGGGAUACUACCCUAGCUGUGUUGGCUUUCUAACCCGCACCACUUAUCGUGGUGGGAGACAGUGUCAGGCGGGCAGUUUGACUGGGGCGGUCGCCUCCUAAAAGGUAACGGAGGCGCUCAAAGGUUCCCUCAGAAUGGUUGGAAAUCAUUCAUAGAGUGUAAAGGCAUAAGGGAGCUUGACUGCGAGACCUACAAGUCGAGCAGGGUCGAAAGACGGACUUAGUGAUCCGGUGGUUCCGCAUGGAAGGGCCAUCGCUCAACGGAUAAAAGCUACCCCGGGGAUAACAGGCUUAUCUCCCCCAAGAGUUCACAUCGACGGGGAGGUUUGGCACCUCGAUGUCGGCUCAUCGCAUCCUGGGGCUGUAGUCGGUCCCAAGGGUUGGGCUGUUCGCCCAUUAAAGCGGUACGCGAGCUGGGUUCAGAACGUCGUGAGACAGUUCGGUCCCUAUCCGUCGUGGGCGUAGGAAAUUUGAGAGGAGCUGUCCUUAGUACGAGAGGACCGGGAUGGACAUACCUCUGGUGUACCAGUUGUCGUGCCAACGGCAUAGCUGGGUAGCUAUGUGUGGACGGGAUAAGUGCUGAAAGCAUCUAAGCAUGAAGCCCCCCUCAAGAUGAGAUUUCCCAACUUCGGUUAUAAGAUCCCUCAAAGAUGAUGAGGUUAAUAGGUUCGAGGUGGAAGCAUGGUGACAUGUGGAGCUGACGAAUACUAAUCGAUCGAAGACUUAAUCAA